UUUAUGUAACUGUUAGGGGCACUUAGAAUUUCGUCUGUUUCAGGCAACGCUGGCACAUGGACGUGCCAGCGAGGUGCAUAUGAGCACGGAUGCGAAUUUGCACCGGUUGCCGGAUAUUGUGAUAUUUUAUCCGAAAUUCUUAGUGCCCCUUGCAGGUAUCAUAC
This is a regulatory RNA element of Roseburia sp. CAG:45, 164 nucleotides long. The record is from Rfam. NCBI's taxonomy places the organism in Bacteria, Bacillati, Bacillota, Clostridia, Lachnospirales, Lachnospiraceae.